This 93-nucleotide non-coding RNA is filed under the name Fragilariopsis kerguelensis. The record is from RNAcentral. Lineage: Eukaryota; Bacillariophyta; Bacillariophyceae; Bacillariales; Bacillariaceae.
AAAUAAUAAAGAAGAUAAGGUGGACAUACAGAACUAUUUUCAGGAAGAAAUUGCGUAUUCUGAGUAUUAUUAUGGUUAUGAAUUAGAAGAGGA